CGAGUCCAGAUCGGUGAACUCUCUUGAGCUCGAGCCAGUCUCGAAUCUCGGGAAGAAACAUUCGAAUUUAUGGUACUUGCUGCUGGCACUGAUAUCGGAGCUCCUUCUCUCGCUGUGUUACAAUGGCUGUCAUUGACUUGGAAGGACGGUUUUGUGCGAACGAAGGGAUCGAAUAUGUGAGGACAGCGUUCGGUGCGCUUUUGCUGUUCGUUGGCUCAGCAGCCUGGCUACAUUUGUAGGCUGCAGCCUGCAUCGUAUAAAUCAAAAUUCAGAACCCUAUAUACGGCAUACCGCACUUGAGGUAGGAGGCUCGAGGGCCUCGAGGCGGACCUCGUGACGUAUUAUUACGAAGUGUUCCUUAGCCUUCGUGGAUUCGUGGAUGCGGAAUUGGUUCAUGGUGGAGUUAAAGAUGGUUGAUAGAUUGACAGCGGCUGGGUCAUAGACGCUUCGGAGGCUGCAAAGUUCUUAUCCGUAUUGAAUGAGUGAACACAACGCGGUUUGGCUAGUGACAACCAAAAGUUAUCCCACCAGAGGUAUGCCGUCAUCUACAGCGAACCCAGUUGGGCGUUAUUGGUUCAACUGGAAUGGGUGUAGUGGAGAAUGGAGACUCGGUUUCCUCGUUGACGACGCCGACUAUCAAGCGUUAUUUGGUUUGGUUGGGCAUAUUUUACUGUGAGAUUGGGAAAGCAGCGACCGGGUGGAAGUAUGUUUGACUUGGAGUAUGUGUCUGUGUGAGCAUGCUGUGGCGAUCAAUCAACUUGUGGAGACAUACAUCAUGACGAUGUCAUAUUUGGCUUAUUAUUACCGGGCAACAACUCAAAGGCGGCCUGUGAAAUAGUAGCUUGAAGGGCAUUGUGGUAAUCCUUAUCCCCAUGCGUUGCCGAUU
This is a long non-coding RNA of Paramacrobiotus metropolitanus, 886 nucleotides long. RefSeq lists it as uncharacterized. The transcript is spliced from 7 exons. The record is from RefSeq and is a predicted model, not a curated record. Lineage: Eukaryota; Metazoa; Tardigrada; Eutardigrada; Parachela; Macrobiotidae.